Molecule: long non-coding RNA, 210 nt
Filed under: Manihot esculenta (cassava)
Lineage: Eukaryota; Viridiplantae; Streptophyta; Magnoliopsida; Malpighiales; Euphorbiaceae
Description: long non-coding RNA (MESC_LNC012004)
Source: RNAcentral
GGUGCACUCUUCUAGAUUAUGGUGGUUCCAUAGAACUUUCACCAUCGGAAUCUCUUUGUUCCUUAGCUGUCUGAUCUGCGUGUCCAGAAUCCGCACUGGCUGCUCUAUAUAGGUGAGAUCCGUAUGAAUCUCCACCUCAGGCUCACUCAGAACCUGAUUCGGAUCUGACACAAACUGUCGUAGCAUAGAAACAUGAAAUACCGGGUGAAU